UCUGCUCUUGAAGCACCUGCACCAGA
This 26-nucleotide non-coding RNA is filed under the name Rattus norvegicus (Norway rat). Lineage: Eukaryota; Metazoa; Chordata; Mammalia; Rodentia; Muridae. The record is from RNAcentral.